AUUGAACGCUGGCGGCAUGCUUUACACAUGCAAGUCGAACGGUAACGGGCCUUCGGGCGCUGACGAGUGGCGAACGGGUGAGUAAUGCAUCGGAACGUGCCCAGAGGUGGGGGAUAACGCAGCGAAAGCUGUGCUAAUACCGCAUAUUAUCUGAGGAUGAAAGCGGGGGACUAAGCAGCAAUGUUUGGCCUCGCGCCUUUGGAGCGGCCGAUGUCAGAUUAGGUAGUUGGUGGGGUAAAGGCCUACCAAGCCGACGAUCUGUAGCUGGUCUGAGAGGACGACCAGCCACACUGGGACUGAGACACGGCCCAGACUCCUACGGGAGGCAGCAGUGGGGAAUUUUGGACAAUGGGCGCAAGCCUGAUCCAGCAAUGCCGCGUGCAGGAAGAAGGCCUUCGGGUUGUAAACUGCUUUUGUACGGAACGAAAAGGCUCUGGUUAAUACCUGGGGCUCAUGACGGUACCGUAAGAAUAAGCACCGGCUAACUACGUG
RNAcentral lists this ribosomal RNA (492 nucleotides) under uncultured bacterium. Its description in RNAcentral is "bacterial SSU rRNA". It matches the Rfam family "Bacterial small subunit ribosomal RNA", at positions 30 to 507 of the family's 1533-position model. The record is from RNAcentral.